Molecule: ribosomal RNA, 390 nt
Filed under: uncultured bacterium
Lineage: Bacteria
Description: bacterial SSU rRNA
Rfam family: Bacterial small subunit ribosomal RNA
Source: RNAcentral
AUUGAACGCUGGCGGAAUGCUUUACACAUGCAAGUCGAGCGGCAGCGCGGGGCAACCUGGCGGCGAGCGGCGAACGGGUGAGUAAUGCAUCGGAACGUACCCCGUCGUGGGGGAUAACUACCCGAAAGGGUAGCUAAUACCGCAUACGACCUGAGGGUGAAAGCGGGGGACCGAAAGGCCUCGCGCGAUGGGAGCGGCCGAUGCCGGAUUAGCUAGUUGGUAGGGUAAAGGCCUACCAAGGCGACGAUCCGUAGCUGGUCUGAGAGGACGACCAGCCACACUGGAACUGAGACACGGUCCAGACUCCUACGGGAGGCAGCAGUGGGGAAUUUUGGACAAUGGGCGAAAGCCUGAUCCAGCCAUUCCGCGUGAGUGAAGAAGGCCUCGGUU